Molecule: long non-coding RNA, 450 nt
Organism: Cyprinus carpio (common carp)
Lineage: Eukaryota; Metazoa; Chordata; Actinopteri; Cypriniformes; Cyprinidae
Exons: 3
Source: RefSeq, a predicted model, not a curated record
CUUAACUGGGUGUGGAUGGAGAGCUCGGAUGAUUGAUGCUUACAGGUUCUCAGACGAAAACAAGCUGACUGAGCAUGCCCCAACCAGAGGAACCUCCCCGUGAAGUUCAGCAAAACAAAAACGGAACAAGUAAAUCAAUAACAGACUGUGGGCUAAAGAUCACGGAUGUUACCAGCCAGGUUUCAGAUUUAAAGGGGUUGCGCUUGUAUGGUGAAGUACUUCAUGCUUGAAUCCGUAAAACUUUUGACGUUAAACUCACUGCUAAUUACCCCAGAAAACUACUGAGGAGGAAAAGUACGUCAGGCGGCUUGAUUCGCUUCAUGUGCAUCUGAGCGAGCCACUGAUGAAAUCCAUCAAACAAUUGAAAUUUUAAACAGUUUGUCUCCAAGAAAUUAAUUAUCGUGUAUGAGACUCGACGGGUAUCAGGGAGAUCUAAAUGUUUUACCCUUC